GACGAACGCUGGCGGCGUGCUUAACACAUGCAAGUCGAACGGUGAAGCGCCUUCCUUUUUGGUGGGUGUGGAUGAGUGGCGAACGGGUGAGUAACACGUGAGUAACCUGCCCCCUUCUUCUGGAUAACCGCAUGAAAGUGUGGCUAAUACGGGAUAUUCUGGGUCUGUCGCAUGAUGGGUCUGGGAAAGAUAUUGUUUCGGUGGGGGACGGGCUCGCGGCCUAUCAGCUUGUUGGUGGGGUGAUGGCCUACCAAGGCGGUGACGGGUAGCCGGCCUGAGAGGGUGGACGGUCACACUGGGACUGAGACACGGCCCAGACUCCUACGGGAGGCAGCAGUGGGGAAUAUUGCACAAUGGGCGCAAGCCUGAUGCAGCGACGCCGCGUGAGGGAUGGAGGCCUUCGGGUUGUGAACCUCUUUCGCCAGUGAAGCAGGCCUGCCUCGUUUGUGGGUGGGUUGACGGUAGCUGGAUAAGAAGCGCCGGCUAACUACGUG
Molecule: ribosomal RNA, 494 nt
Filed under: uncultured bacterium
Lineage: Bacteria
Description: partial 16S ribosomal RNA
Rfam family: Bacterial small subunit ribosomal RNA
Source: RNAcentral